AUUUUGAAGAGCUUGCACAGCACUGAACAAGGACGAGUACAUUACUAUGGUACUUUACUUCUAACUUGUCUUUCUGACCGUAUGCCUACUUAUUCCUUGCACUAUGGAACAGCGAAACGGAUCUAAUUUUAUACAUGUACAAUGGUAAGUCCACUUAUCAUUUUCCCUUUUCUUUUGAAGAGAAUGGUGUAAACAGAGUAAAUUUGCUUCUAUUUAUUGAACAUUUGGAUAUAUAAGCUAGAUAUUAGCCAUUGAGUAGCAUGAUCUUUUAAUAUUAAUGGGACUGAUUUAUGAUUAGUGGCUUAUAUUUCUUCUAGGAAUCUCCUCAAACAUCAAGGAUUUAAAGUGUUGUAGAAAUGCUGCUGACUCUAUGCUACUAGAAUGCUACUGGAAGGAGACUGAGGUUUGGUUCGAUUUACUUAUCAUUUCUCAGUUGUCUUAUCUUGUCUCUUUCACCACUGCUUCUCUUGGUAAUUAUUUUCAGCCGCAAUUGCUAAGUUGUAAGUUAAAUGUUUUACCUUGCUAUUUAUCUUCAUCCAAGUUCUCUUCUUUAGAUUUAAAUGCUAUCUAAGUGAGGCGCAUAAAAGUCGAGCACAAUUAUCUGCUGGAGAGAAGGUCGGCAACUCGGCAAUGCACUUACAGAAUAUAAUUGAAGUUUUUUAUUCUAUGGUGCAAGCUGUGAGAAGAUUAUUAGUAAUUAGUAGGCCAUUUGUAGUGCACAUUUAUAAAAUUGUCUGCUGACUUAUUAUGUAUGAUAAUUUUAUUGGUAAAUAUUAUAUAAAUAUUUGCAUUGAGCUA
Molecule: non-coding RNA, 798 nt
Organism: Erythranthe guttata (spotted monkey flower)
Lineage: Eukaryota; Viridiplantae; Streptophyta; Magnoliopsida; Lamiales; Phrymaceae
Source: RefSeq, a predicted model, not a curated record